GAUGAACGCUAGCGGCAGGCUUAAUACAUGCAAGUCGAGGGGCAGCAGUCCCGUAGCAAUACGGGAGCCGGCGACCGGCAAACGGGUGCGGAACACGUACGCAACUUUCCUUCAAGUGAGGAAUAGCCCAGGGAAACUUGGAUUAAUACCUCGUAAUAUUAUGAAGUGGCAUCACUUUAUUAAUUAUAGCUCCGGCGCUUGAAGAUGGGCGUGCGCCUGAUUAGGUAGNGGUCGGGGUAACGGCCCACCAAGCCUCGCGAUCAGUAACUGGUGUGAGAGCACGACCAGUCACACGGGCACUGAGACACGGGCCCGGACUCCUACGGGAGGCAGCAGUAAGGAAUAUUGGGCAAUGGACGC
RNAcentral lists this ribosomal RNA (360 nucleotides) under uncultured bacterium. RNAcentral's name for it is "bacterial SSU rRNA". It matches the Rfam family "Bacterial small subunit ribosomal RNA", at positions 28 to 378 of the family's 1533-position model. The record is from RNAcentral.